AUCCAGCUGAUGAGUCCCAAGUAGGACGAAACGCGCGUCCUGCAU
RNAcentral lists this non-coding RNA (45 nucleotides) under Schistosoma mansoni. Lineage: Eukaryota; Metazoa; Platyhelminthes; Trematoda; Strigeidida; Schistosomatidae. The record is from RNAcentral.